Molecule: ribosomal RNA, 254 nt
Filed under: uncultured bacterium
Lineage: Bacteria
Description: partial 16S ribosomal RNA
Rfam family: Bacterial small subunit ribosomal RNA
Source: RNAcentral
UACGAAGGGGGCUAGCGUUGCUCGGAAUCACUGGGCGUAAAGGGCGCGUAGGCGGCGUUUUAAGUCGGGGGUGAAAGCCUGUGGCUCAACCACAGAAUGGCCUUCGAUACUGGGACGCUUGAGUAUGGUAGAGGUUGGUGGAACUGCGAGUGUAGAGGUGAAAUUCGUAGAUAUCAGGAGGAACACCGGCGGCGAAAGGCGGCUUUCUGGCUCAUUACUGACGUUCAGGUACGAAAGCGUGGGUAGCAAACAGG